Molecule: ribosomal RNA, 1048 nt
Filed under: Salmonella enterica subsp. enterica serovar Anatum
Lineage: Bacteria; Pseudomonadati; Pseudomonadota; Gammaproteobacteria; Enterobacterales; Enterobacteriaceae
Also listed under: 1 other name
Description: partial 16S ribosomal RNA
Rfam family: Bacterial small subunit ribosomal RNA
Source: RNAcentral
AAAUUGAAGAGUUUGAUCAUGGCUCAGAUUGAACGCUGGCGGCAGGCCUAACACAUGCAAGUCGAACGGUAACAGGAAGCAGCUUGCUGCUUCGCUGACGAGUGGCGGACGGGUGAGUAAUGUCUGGGAAACUGCCUGAUGGAGGGGGAUAACUACUGGAAACGGUGGCUAAUACCGCAUAACGUCGCAAGACCAAAGAGGGGGACCUUCGGGCCUCUUGCCAUCAGAUGUGCCCAGAUGGGAUUAGCUUGUUGGUGAGGUAACGGCUCACCAAGGCGACGAUCCCUAGCUGGUCUGAGAGGAUGACCAGCCACACUGGAACUGAGACACGGUCCAGACUCCUACGGGAGGCAGCAGUGGGGAAUAUUGCACAAUGGGCGCAAGCCUGAUGCAGCCAUGCCGCGUGUAUGAAGAAGGCCUUCGGGUUGUAAAGUACUUUCAGCGGGGAGGAAGGUGUUGUGGUUAAUAACCGCAGCAAUUGACGUUACCCGCAGAAGAAGCACCGGCUAACUCCGUGCCAGCAGCCGCGGUAAUACGGAGGGUGCAAGCGUUAAUCGGAAUUACUGGGCGUAAAGCGCACGCAGGCGGUCUGUCAAGUCGGAUGUGAAAUCCCCGGGCUCAACCUGGGAACUGCAUUCGAAACUGGCAGGCUUGAGUCUUGUAGAGGGGGGUAGAAUUCCAGGUGUAGCGGUGAAAUGCGUAGAGAUCUGGAGGAAUACCGGUGGCGAAGGCGGCCCCCUGGACAAAGACUGACGCUCAGGUGCGAAAGCGUGGGGAGCAAACAGGAUUAGAUACCCUGGUAGUCCACGCCGUAAACGAUGUCUACUUGGAGGUUGUGCCCUUGAGGCGUGGCUUCCGGAGCUAACGCGUUAAGUAGACCGCCUGGGGAGUACGGCCGCAAGGUUAAAACUCAAAUGAAUUGACGGGGGCCCGCACAAGCGGUGGAGCAUGUGGUUUAAUUCGAUGCAACGCGAAGAACCUUACCUGGUCUUGACAUCCACGGAAGUUUUCAGAGAUGAGAAUGUGCCUUCGGGAACCGUGAGACAGG